Molecule: transfer RNA, 127 nt
Filed under: Gemmatimonadota bacterium
Lineage: Bacteria; Pseudomonadati; Gemmatimonadota
Description: tRNA-OTHER
Rfam family: tRNA
About the family: Transfer RNA (tRNA) molecules are approximately 80 nucleotides in length.
Source: RNAcentral
UGACAUGUGGCCCAACCGGCGACAGGCCGGCGUGCUGGAUUUAUCCGUACGGGCAGGGCAAGAUGCGGUGGUGGAUCCCGGGUGAAACCACCGCCUCUCGGUGCGGGUUCGAGUCCCGCCAUGUCAU